UGGGGAAUAUUGCACAAUGGGCGCAAGCCUGAUGCAGCCAUGCCGCGUGUAUGAAGAAGGCCUUCGGGUUGUAAAGUACUUUCAGUCGGGAGGAAGGUGUCAAGGUUAAUAACCUUGGCAAUUGACGUUACCGACAGAAGAAGCACCGGCUAACUCCGUGCCAGCAGCCGCGGUAAUACGGAGGGUGCAAGCGUUAAUCGGAAUUACUGGGCGUAAAGCGCACGCAGGCGGUUGAUUGAGUCAGAUGUGAAAUCCCCGGGCUUAACCCGGGAAUUGCAUCUGAUACUGGGCAGCUAGAGUCUUGGAGAGGGGGGUAGAAUUCCAUGUGUAGCGGUGAAAUGCGUAGAGAUGUGGAGGAAUACCGGUGGCGAAGGCGGCCCCCUGGACAAAGACUGACGCUCAGGUGCGAAAGCGUGGGGAGCAAACAGG
Molecule: ribosomal RNA, 429 nt
Filed under: Chloroflexota bacterium
Lineage: Bacteria; Bacillati; Chloroflexota
Description: Chloroflexi bacterium partial 16S ribosomal RNA
Rfam family: Bacterial small subunit ribosomal RNA
Source: RNAcentral